AAAAAAAAAAAAAAAGGUAGCUGUACUCCUAUCCUAUGUAUACUGCAGCAGUAUUCACAAUAGCCUUGAUGUAUAAUAAACCUAAUGUCCACUGUAAAAUGGAUGGAUAAAGAAAAUAUCAUAUAUAUGUGUGUGUGUGUGUGUGUGUGUGUGUAUAGACACACAAUGGAAUAUUAUUCAGCCAUAAAAACAAUUAAAUCUUGUCAGUUGCAGCAACAAGGAUGGAACUAGAGGACACUAUGUUAAGUGCAUUAAGUUAGACACAGAAAGACAUUCUAUACAGUCUCACUCACAUCUGGAAACUUUGAAAGUUCAUUUCAUAGAAGUAGAAGUAGAAUAGUGGUCAGUAAAGGCAACAAAUGGAAGGGAAAGGAAGGAUAGAUGCAGGCUGGAUAAUAGAUACUAAAAUACAGAUAGAAAGGAGGGAUGUGUUCUAAUAUUCUAUAGUAUAUCCGCUUAACUGAGUUUACAACAAUUUAGCAUACACAAACACAUAUUUUAAAGCACUGACCUGCACAUUUAAUUAUUUCCUUUAAGCUUUAUUUAUUAAUUAUUAAAGACACAGAGUAACAGAGAGACAGAAAUAGAGACAGAACUAGAUCUUCCAUCCAUUUGUUUACUCCCUGAAUGCUUGCCAUUGCUGGGGUUGGCCUAGGCAAAAUAUGGGACCUGGGCAUCUCAAUUGCCAUCUUAAUCACUAUGCCAAAUGCCCAUCUAGGAUCCACAUUAUGGCAGAGUAGGUAAAGCCACAACCUACAACUCCGGCAUCUAAUAUGGGUGCUGGUUCAUGUCCUGGCUAGUCCACCUUCAAUCCAGCACCCUGGUAAUGGCCUGGGGAAAAUAGUGGAAGAUGGUCCAAGUUUUGGGCCCCUAGCAACCCAAGUGGAUGACCUGGAUGAAGUUGUUGACUCCUGGCUUCACCCUGGCCCAGCACUAGCUAUUGUGGCCAUCCGGGGAAUGAACCAGGAGAUGGUAGAUUCAUUCUCUCUCUCUCUCUCUCCCUCCCUCCCUCCUUCCCUCCUUCCCUUCCUCUAUCCUUCCCUCCCCACCUCCCUCUGUAACUCUGACUUUCAAAAUAAGCAAAUAAAUCUUUUAAAAAAUUCCAAUUCCAUUAUAAAUUUUAUGGAUAGCUAGAAGAGAGGAGUUUGAAGGCUCCCAACACAAAGAAAGGAAAAAAUUUAAGGAAAUAGAAAUGCUAAUUACCCUGGUUACUUCAUUACACAUUGUAUCAAAUGUAUCAAAUGACCACACUAUACCUCAUAAAUACAAGAACAAAAGAGUUUAAAAGAAUUUAUGGAAAAUUCACAUUAUGUUAAAAGUAUUUUAAAUUAUUUAUUUAUUUGAGAUGGAGACAGACAGAAAGCUCCUGUCUACUGGUUCACUGCCCAAAUGCAUCUAACAGUUGAGGCUGGGCUGGGCUAGAGCCAGGAACUGGAAUCCAGGUCUUCCAUGUGGGUGGCAGGAAUCCAGUUAUUUGAGCCAUCACUGCCACCUCUCGGGUUGCACUUGUAAUCCAGGUCUUCCAGGUUUGAUUCCUGGCUCUGGCUCCUGACUUCAGAAUCAAAUCCAAGGAGCAAGAACUCAUACCCAGGCACACUGAUAUGGGAUACUGGCAUUUAACCACUAGGUUAAGUGCCAGCUACCCAAUAUCCUCUUUUUAAAAAAUGUUGAGAAUUUGAGAGGAUACCCAGAUGGCUAAAUACUGUCUUAGAUGAUGGGAAAAUAGCAGAAUAAAAGUGGAGGAAGAACAUUCCCAGGGUAGAGUUAAAGAGAAGUUUGCAGUGGAAAUUCUGCAGAAGGAAGAGGGAUGCCAUGGAUCAGAGUGGAAGGUGACUCACAGCAACAAGCGGGGCAACCACACGCAAGCCCUGCAGUUGGGAACUGGAGGGCACCCCAGGUUCGGAGAGUGAGGUGAGAACAGACUGCAGCAGCCUGGGCCGCUGGCGAUACUGCCUGAGGGAGAGUUGUGUGGACCACUCUGUCUUUGAGUCUGGAGCCCUAAUGGGGGGCAAGGUACUAUCCUAAUCCAGCAGAAAGACGCAUGUUUCUUUCUCCCCAUUCCCCCACAAUGGCGCCAGAAAACUUGAGGGGCAGAGGUACCAUUUUGAUACCAGUAGCAGCUGCCUCUUAUGCGUGCGUGUGAUCAGGGAUUUUACCAGAGGAAAAAAAUCUAUUCCCUGCUGACUCUGAGUUUGGCUGGCAGGGUUGACAGGGGCUGGGCACUUAUGUAGGACUUUGAGAUGCUCCCAUCCUCUCAACAUAUCACAGGCUCCAGGGCUCAACUGCCAAGGUAAAGCACCCACAAGCAGUGGGCUCUGGGAAUGUCUCUGCUUUCUCCACAGACAGGACAAGCUAACAGGAUGGAGCAGAUCGUCUGUAUCCUGUGACUGUGGGAGCCAUGCUCACUGUGACUGUGGGAAUCCUAUGACUCCACAAUAAAGCAUGGGAUGUCACUGUGUCUGGUGUCAGAGGCUCAGAACUCCCUGACUGCUUGGGGUGGAUCAUUGCUGUGGGUUCCAUGUUCUUAUUGAGGCCUGCACAGAUCCUUUGUGUGGUUCAUGCAGCAGCAUGGAAAAAAAAGAAAAGAAAUAUGGGAAGAAAAACAAAGGAGAGAAUGUUUUGAAAAGACUCUGCAGUUGAUGUAAUGGAUUACAUUAGCAGCUUUUUGAAUGGUGAACCAACAUUGCAUAUUUGGAAUACAUCCCACUUGGUCAUGGUAUGUAAUUUCCUUCCUUCCUUCCUUCCUUCCUUCCUUCCUUCCUUCCUUCCUUCCUUCCUUCCUUUCUUUUUUGACAGGCAGAGUUAGUGAGAGAGAGAGACAGAGAGAAAGGUCUUCCUUCUGUUGGUUCACCCCUCA
Molecule: non-coding RNA, 2857 nt
Organism: Oryctolagus cuniculus (rabbit)
Lineage: Eukaryota; Metazoa; Chordata; Mammalia; Lagomorpha; Leporidae
Source: RefSeq, a predicted model, not a curated record